UACGUAGGGGGCAAGCGUUGUCCGGAAUUAUUGGGCGUAAAGAGCGUGUAGGCGGCCAGAUAAGUCCGCUGUGAAAUCUCGAGGCUCAACUUCGAGCUGUCGGUGGAAACUAUCUGGCUAGAGUCCGGAAGAGGAGAAUGGAAUUCCUGGUGUAGCGGUGAAAUGCGCAGAUAUCGGGAGGAACAUCAGUGGCGAAGGCGGCUGCCUGGCCCAAUACUGACACUCAGGUGCGACAGCGUGGGGAGCAAACAGG
This 253-nucleotide ribosomal RNA is filed under the name uncultured bacterium. RNAcentral's name for it is "partial 16S ribosomal RNA". It matches the Rfam family "Bacterial small subunit ribosomal RNA", at positions 524 to 776 of the family's 1533-position model. The record is from RNAcentral.